RNAcentral lists this ribosomal RNA (661 nucleotides) under Enterobacter roggenkampii. RNAcentral describes it as "bacterial SSU rRNA". It matches the Rfam family "Bacterial small subunit ribosomal RNA", at positions 872 to 1533 of the family's 1533-position model. RNAcentral also lists the same sequence under 2 other names. The record is from RNAcentral. Lineage: Bacteria; Pseudomonadati; Pseudomonadota; Gammaproteobacteria; Enterobacterales; Enterobacteriaceae.
CCUGGGGAGUACGGCCGCAAGGUUAAAACUCAAAUGAAUUGACGGGGGCCCGCACAAGCGGUGGAGCAUGUGGUUUAAUUCGAUGCAACGCGAAGAACCUUACCUACUCUUGACAUCCAGAGAACUUUCCAGAGAUGGAUUGGUGCCUUCGGGAACUCUGAGACAGGUGCUGCAUGGCUGUCGUCAGCUCGUGUUGUGAAAUGUUGGGUUAAGUCCCGCAACGAGCGCAACCCUUAUCCUUUGUUGCCAGCGGUCCGGCCGGGAACUCAAAGGAGACUGCCAGUGAUAAACUGGAGGAAGGUGGGGAUGACGUCAAGUCAUCAUGGCCCUUACGAGUAGGGCUACACACGUGCUACAAUGGCGCAUACAAAGAGAAGCGACCUCGCGAGAGCAAGCGGACCUCAUAAAGUGCGUCGUAGUCCGGAUUGGAGUCUGCAACUCGACUCCAUGAAGUCGGAAUCGCUAGUAAUCGUAGAUCAGAAUGCUACGGUGAAUACGUUCCCGGGCCUUGUACACACCGCCCGUCACACCAUGGGAGUGGGUUGCAAAAGAAGUAGGUAGCUUAACCUUCGGGAGGGCGCUUACCACUUUGUGAUUCAUGACUGGGGUGAAGUCGUAACAAGGUAACCGUAGGGGAACCUGCGGUUGGAUCACCUCCUUA